UACAGAGGGUGCAAGCGUUAAUCGGAAUUACUGGGCGUAAAGCGCGCGUAGGUGGUUUGUUAAGUUGGAUGUGAAAUCCCCGGGCUCAACCUGGGAACUGCAUUCAAAACUGACUGACUAGAGUAUGGUAGAGGGUGGUGGAAUUUCCUGUGUAGCGGUGAAAUGCGUAGAUAUAGGAAGGAACACCAGUGGCGAAGGCGACCACCUGGACUAAUACUGACACUGAGGUGCGAAAGCGUGGGGAGCGAACAGG
Molecule: ribosomal RNA, 253 nt
Filed under: uncultured bacterium
Lineage: Bacteria
Description: partial 16S ribosomal RNA
Rfam family: Bacterial small subunit ribosomal RNA
Source: RNAcentral